GGAACAACGUUUCCCGUACGAUCACCGAAGUUAAGCAAUGUCGAUCCUGGUCAGUACCUCGAUGGGUGGCCGCUUGGGAAUACCCAGAGUUGUAGU
Non-coding RNA from Acanthosepion pharaonis, 96 nucleotides. The record is from the annotation of a GenBank genome assembly. NCBI's taxonomy places the organism in Eukaryota, Metazoa, Mollusca, Cephalopoda, Sepiida, Sepiidae.